AGCUGUAUAGAUGGUCCUCACCUCGAAACCCUAGUAUAUAGGAAUCGUUGUAGCUGUGUUUCUUAUCUGAUUUCUUGUGAUUGUUUUGGUGGCAGAUGAUGUUAGGUUUCUGCAAAGUUAGUUUCAUUGUAAAAUUAAAGGGCUUUUUAUCUUCUUUUGUGUUUAGGUUGGAGCUGUAAGUGAUGAAAGUGUUGAACGUUCGAGUCUGUUGGAUCAAAUAGAACUUGAAUUUGAAGCUCAUCUCAAUGGUCAACCAAGCGGGAUCUGAUGGUGUCAAGGCUGAGUCCAAGGACGGUGAAGACCUAUAUCUGCUGGGAGACAGAAGAUCAUAUUGGAAGACAUGGUUGCCUAAGACAUGUUUUGUAUUAAAACAGAAACAGAUAUAACUAUGCACACAGGCUGCAAAGGUGGACUAGGGACAAGUAGGUGUCUGAGAAGGUGCUGGCUCUUUUGGUUGGAAUAUUGGAGUGCAGCAUGGGCCUCUUAAGGUAUUCAGAUUAGUUUUACUUACCUUUCUUGUGAGGUAGAUGUUGUCUGUUUGAUCUAAAAGUCCUCUGUUUAUUUCUGUUUGAUGAGCAUCUCUCUUUUGUUUGUGUGUUUCAAUACAAACUUGGAUGGCUUAUUCGUUUCAUCUAUGGUUAGACACGUACUCGUUUUUUAUAGCUUGUUGAGAAUAUAACAUCCAAGCCAUUUUCUUUGGAGAAGAAAGUUA
Molecule: long non-coding RNA, 712 nt
Organism: Brassica oleracea var. oleracea
Lineage: Eukaryota; Viridiplantae; Streptophyta; Magnoliopsida; Brassicales; Brassicaceae
Exons: 3
Source: RefSeq, a predicted model, not a curated record